Molecule: non-coding RNA, 269 nt
Organism: Pelobates cultripes (western spadefoot toad)
Lineage: Eukaryota; Metazoa; Chordata; Amphibia; Anura; Pelobatidae
Source: the annotation of a GenBank genome assembly
CCCGUUACCACCCCUCCAACCCCUUCUCCAGUGUUACCUCCUCCUCCCGAAGUCCCGGCCCCCUCUACCUCGUUGCCUCCUCCUCCCUCGGCUGAUUUGCCGUCCCUAAUCUCUGCCCUCACCGCCCUGACCCAACCCCCCGUUACCACCCCUCCAACCCCUUCUCCAGUGUUACCUCCUCCUCCCGAAGUCCCGGCCCCCUCAACCUCGUUGCCUCCUCCUCCCUCGGCCGUUUUGCCAUCCCUAAUCUCUGCCCUCACCGCCCUGAC